RNAcentral lists this ribosomal RNA (460 nucleotides) under Ameerega hahneli. RNAcentral's name for it is "partial 12S ribosomal RNA". It matches the Rfam family "Bacterial small subunit ribosomal RNA", at positions 789 to 1494 of the family's 1533-position model. The record is from RNAcentral. Lineage: Eukaryota; Metazoa; Chordata; Amphibia; Anura; Dendrobatidae.
ACUAUGCCUAGUAGUAAACUUUAACUUACCCUUACAUCGCCCGGGAACUACGAGCCAAGCUUAAAACCCAAAGGACUUGACGGUACCCCAUAUCCCCCUAGAGGAGCCUGUCCUAUAAUCGAUAAUCCCCGCUUAACCUCACCAUUUUUUGCUAAUCAGCCUGUAUACCUCCGUCGUCAGCUUACCACGUGAGCGUCAGUGAGCCUAAUGUUUUUCCAACUAUACGUCAGGUCAAGGUGCAACAUAUAAAAUGGAAAGAGAUGGGCUACACUUUCUAUCAUAGAAUAAACGAAAGACUAAAUGAAACCUGGUCAGAAGGCGGAUUUAGUAGUAAAAUGAAACUAGAGCGUUCACUUAAAUACGGCACUGGGGUGUGUACACACCGCCCGUCACCCUCCUCAACUCUGCAUAAAAGUUUUUAACGCCUUUUCAGAGACUCAGAAGAGGCAAGUCGUAACAC